This 1049-nucleotide ribosomal RNA is filed under the name uncultured marine bacterium. RNAcentral describes it as "bacterial SSU rRNA". It matches the Rfam family "Bacterial small subunit ribosomal RNA", at positions 74 to 1119 of the family's 1533-position model. The record is from RNAcentral.
GUAUCUUCGGAUAUGAGUAGAGCGGCGGACGGGUGAGUAACGCGUAGGAAUCUACCUAGUAGAAGGGGAUAGCCCGGGGAAACUCGGAUUAAUACCGUAUACCUCCUUCGGGAGAGAGAAGGCCUCUCAUUGAAGCUUUCGCUACUAGAUGAGCCUGCGUAAGAUUAGCUUGUUGGUGAGGUAAAGGCUCACCAAGGCGACGAUCUUUAGCGGGUCUGAGAGGACGAUCCGCCACAUUGGGACUGAGACACGGCCCAGACUCCUACGGGAGGCAGCAGUGGGGAAUAUUGGACAAUGGGCGCAAGCCUGAUCCAGCCAUACCGCGUGUGUGAAGAAGGCUCUAGGGUUGUAAAGCACUUUAAGUUGGGAAGAAAAGUUAUUGGUUAAUACCCAAUAGCCGUGACAUUACCAUCAGAAUAAGGACCGGCUAAUUCCGUGCCAGCAGCCGCGGUAAUACGGAAGGUCCAAGCGUUAAUCGGAAUUGCUGGGCGUAAAGCGCGCGUAGGUGGUUUAUUAAGUUGGAUGUGAAAUCCCCGGGCUCAACCUGGGAACUGCAUCCAAAACUGAUUCACUAGAGUACGAUAGAGGGAGGUAGAAUUCACAGUGUAGCGGUGGAAUGCGUAGAUAUUGUGAAGAAUACCAAUGGCGAAGGCAGCCUCCUGGAUCUGUACUGACACUGAGGUGCGAAAGCGUGGGUAGCGAACAGGAUUAGAUACCCUGGUAGUCCACGCCGUAAACGAUGUCAACUAGCUGUUGGGGAACUAUGUUCUUCGGUGGCGCAGCUAACGUAGUAAGUUGACCGCCUGGGGAGUACGGCCGCAAGGCUAAAACUCAAAUGAAUUGACGGGGACCCGCACAAGCGGUGGAGCAUGUGGUUUAAUUCGAUGCAACGCGAAAAACCUUACCUAUACUUGACAUACUUGGAAUGCUUUGUAAUGAAGCAGUGCCUUCGGGAGCCAGGAUACAGGUGCUGCAUGGCUGUCGUCAGCUCGUGUCGUGAGAUGUUCCGUUAAGUCGGAUAACGAGCGCAACCCUUACCCUUAUUUGCC